RNAcentral lists this ribosomal RNA (1016 nucleotides) under uncultured bacterium. RNAcentral's name for it is "bacterial SSU rRNA". It matches the Rfam family "Bacterial small subunit ribosomal RNA", at positions 357 to 1376 of the family's 1533-position model. The record is from RNAcentral.
AGGAAUAUUGGUCAAUGGACGAGAGUCUGAACCAGCCAAGUAGCGUGAAGGAUGACUGCCCUAUGGGUUGUAAACUUCUUUUAUACGGGAAUAAAGUUAGCCACGUGUGGCUUUUUGUAUGUACCGUAUGAAUAAGGAUCGGCUAACUCCGUGCCAGCAGCCGCGGUAAUACGGAGGAUCCGAGCGUUAUCCGGAUUUAUUGGGUUUAAAGGGAGCGUAGGCGGGUUGUUAAGUCAGUUGUGAAAGUUUGCGGCUCAACCGUAAAAUUGCAGUUGAUACUGGAUAUCUUGAGUGCAGUUGAGGCAGGCGGAAUUCGUGGUGUAGCGGUGAAAUGCUUAGAUAUCACGAAGAACUCCGAUUGCGAAGGCAGCCUGCUAAGCUGCAACUGACAUUGAGGCUCGAAAGUGUGGGUAUCAAACAGGAUUAGAUACCCUGGUAGUCCACACGGUAAACGAUGAAUACUCGCUGUUUGCGAUAUACAGCAAGCGGCCAAGCGAAAGCGUUAAGUAUUCCACCUGGGGAGUACGCCGGCAACGGUGAAACUCAAAGGAAUUGACGGGGGCCCGCACAAGCGGAGGAACAUGUGGUUUAAUUCGAUGAUACGCGAGGAACCUUACCCGGGCUUAAAUUGCAGAUGAAUUACGGUGAAAGCCGUAAGCCGCAAGGCAUCUGUGAAGGUGCUGCAUGGUUGUCGUCAGCUCGUGCCGUGAGGUGUCGGCUUAAGUGCCAUAACGAGCGCAACCCUUGUUGUCAGUUACUAACAGGUUCCGCUGAGGACUCUGACAAGACUGCCAUCGUAAGAUGUGAGGAAGGUGGGGAUGACGUCAAAUCAGCACGGCCCUUACGUCCGGGGCUACACACGUGUUACAAUGGGGGGUACAGAGGGCCGCUACCACGCGAGUGGAUGCCAAUCCCAAAAACCUCUCUCAGUUCGGACUGGAGUCUGCAACCCGACUCCACGAAGCUGGAUUCGCUAGUAAUCGCGCAUCAGCCACGGCGCGGUGAAUACGUUCCCG